CCUAUGGGUGGGCUUCCAAUUGGUGAGGUCUAUAAAAUGAAUUCAGAAUGCCCAAAAGGGGUUGGACUGAGGGAGAGUCUAGAAGGAGACACAGAGGGAUGUAGCAUUCUUCAGGAACAGAGAAGAUUAACAUUUAAAUCAAGAGACGCUGAGUAAAGCAGAUGUCACUUCAUUAUGGUAUGAAUGCUACAUCCAAUCAGUUGAAAACCUAAAGAGACUGAAAUCCCCACCAAAAGAAGGAACCCUGAGCUGGAAGCAGUGGUACCACUGAGUGCUGGGAGUUCAUCCAGGAAGAAAUAUGCUUCUUCUUCA
Molecule: long non-coding RNA, 312 nt
Organism: Chinchilla lanigera (long-tailed chinchilla)
Lineage: Eukaryota; Metazoa; Chordata; Mammalia; Rodentia; Chinchillidae
Exons: 3
Source: RefSeq, a predicted model, not a curated record